This 484-nucleotide ribosomal RNA is filed under the name uncultured bacterium. RNAcentral describes it as "partial 16S ribosomal RNA". It matches the Rfam family "Bacterial small subunit ribosomal RNA", at positions 30 to 507 of the family's 1533-position model. The record is from RNAcentral.
AUUGAACGCUGGCGGAAUGCUUUACGCAUGCAAGUCGAGCGGCAGCACGGGGGCAACCCUGGUGGCGAGCGGCGAACGGGUGAGUAAUACAUCGGAACAUGCCCAGUCGUGGGGGAUAACACUUCGAAAGAAGUGCUAAUACCGCAUACGUCCUGAGGGGGAAAGCGGGGGAUCGCAAGACCUCGCGCGAUUGGAGUGGCCGAUGUCAGAUUAGCUAGUUGGUGGGGUAAAGGCCUACCAAGGCAACGAUCUGUAGCUGGUCUGAGAGGAUGAUCAGACACACUGGGACUGAGACACGGCCCAGACUCCUACGGGAGGCAGCAGUGGGGAAUUUUGGACAAUGGGGGCAACCCUGAUCCAGCCAUUCCGCGUGAGUGAAGAAGGCCUUCGGGUUGUAAAGCUCUUUCGGCAGGAACGAAACGGUGAGCUCUAACAUAGCUUGCUAAUGACGGUACCUGAAGAAGAAGCACCGGCUAACUACGUG